UAGUUCAGUUGGUAGCACAUGACACUUGCAAUGUCAGGGUUGUGGGUUCGAUUCCCAU
Molecule: transfer RNA, 58 nt
Filed under: Salmo salar (Atlantic salmon)
Lineage: Eukaryota; Metazoa; Chordata; Actinopteri; Salmoniformes; Salmonidae
Also listed under: 1 other name
Rfam family: tRNA
About the family: Transfer RNA (tRNA) molecules are approximately 80 nucleotides in length. Their secondary structure includes four short double-helical elements and three loops (D, anti-codon, and T loops). Further hydrogen bonds mediate the characteristic L-shaped molecular structure. tRNAs have two regions of fundamental functional importance: the anti-codon, which is responsible for specific mRNA codon recognition, and the 3' end, to which the tRNAs corresponding amino acid is attached (by aminoacyl-tRNA synthetases). tRNAs cope with the degeneracy of the genetic code in two manners: having more than one tRNA (with a specific anti-codon) for a particular amino acid; and 'wobble' base-pairing, i.e. permitting non-standard base-pairing at the 3rd anti-codon position.
Source: Rfam by way of RNAcentral